This 497-nucleotide ribosomal RNA is filed under the name uncultured bacterium. RNAcentral's name for it is "partial 16S ribosomal RNA". It matches the Rfam family "Bacterial small subunit ribosomal RNA", at positions 28 to 507 of the family's 1533-position model. The record is from RNAcentral.
GACGAACGCUGGCGGCGUGCCUAAUACAUGCAAGUUGAGCGCUGAAGGUUGGUACUUGUACCCACUGGAUGAGCAGCGAACGGGUGAGUAACGCGUGGGGAAUCUGCCUUUGAGCGGGGGACAACAUUUGGAAACGAAUGCUAAUACCGCAUAAAAACUUUAAACACAAGUUUUAAGUUUGAAAGAUGCAAUUGCAUCACUCAAAGAUGAUCCCGCGUUGUAUUAGCUAGUUGGUGAGGUAAAGGCUCACCAAGGCGAUGAUACAUAGCCGACCUGAGAGGGUGAUCGGCCACAUUGGGACUGGGACACGGCCCAAACUCCUACGGGAGGCAGCAGUAGGGAAUCUUCGGCAAUGGACGAAAGUCUGACCGAGCAACGCCGCGUGAGGGAAGAAGGUUUUCGGAUCGUAAAACUCUGUUGGUAGAGAAGAACGUUGGUGAGAGUGGAAAGCUCAUCAAGUGACGGUAACUACCCAGAAAGGGACGGCUAACUACGUG